AGGCGUAGUUCAGUGGUAGAACACCACCUUGCCAAGGUGGUUAUGCGGGUUCGAUUCCCGUCGCCUG
This 67-nucleotide transfer RNA is filed under the name human gut metagenome. It matches the Rfam family "tRNA". From Rfam's summary of the family: Transfer RNA (tRNA) molecules are approximately 80 nucleotides in length. Their secondary structure includes four short double-helical elements and three loops (D, anti-codon, and T loops). RNAcentral also lists the same sequence under 1 other name. The record is from RNAcentral.